This 200-nucleotide unclassified non-coding RNA is filed under the name Pseudogymnoascus destructans. RNAcentral describes it as "sequence contains 5.8S rRNA gene, ITS2". The stretch from base 156 to 200 matches the Rfam family "5.8S ribosomal RNA", at positions 1 to 45 of the family's 154-position model. Lineage: Eukaryota; Fungi; Ascomycota; Leotiomycetes; Thelebolales; Thelebolaceae. The record is from RNAcentral.
GCCGCAAGGCCUCCCGGGUAACCUACCACCCUUUGUUUAUUACACUUUGUUGCUUUGGCAGGCCUGCCCUCGGGCUGCUGGCUCCGGCCGGCGAGCGCUUGCCAGAGGACUAAACUCUGUUUGUCUAUACUGUCUGAGUACUAUAUAAUAGUUAAAACUUUCAACAACGGAUCUCUUGGUUCUGGCAUCGAUGAAGAACG